This 472-nucleotide ribosomal RNA is filed under the name Streptococcus gordonii. Its description in RNAcentral is "bacterial SSU rRNA". It matches the Rfam family "Bacterial small subunit ribosomal RNA", at positions 28 to 474 of the family's 1533-position model. Lineage: Bacteria; Bacillati; Bacillota; Bacilli; Lactobacillales; Streptococcaceae. The record is from RNAcentral.
GACGAACGCUGGCGGCGUGCCUAAUACAUGCAAGUAGAACGCACAGUUUAUACCGUAGCUUGCUACACCAUAGACUGUGAGUUGCGAACGGGUGAGUAACGCGUAGGUAACCUGCCUGGUAGCGGGGGAUAACUAUUGGAAACGAUAGCUAAUACCGCAUAAUAUUAAUUAUUGCAUGAUAAUUAAUUGAAAGGUGCAAUUGCACCACUACCAGAUGGACCUGCGUUGUAUUAGCUAGUAGGUGAGGUAACGGCUCACCUCGGCGACGAUACAUAGCCGACCUGAGAGGGUGAUCGGCCACACUGGGACUGAGACACGGCCCAGACUCCUACGGGAGGCAGCAGUAGGGAAUCUUCGGCAAUGGACGAAAGUCUGACCGAGCAACGCCGCGUGAGUGAAGAAGGUUUUCGGAUCGUAAAGCUCUGUUGUAAGAGAAGAACGGGUGUGAGAGUGGAAAGUUCACACUGUGACG